GUCAGACUUUAGUCGUCCUAAAGUCAUCUAGUGCAUGGGAGGCAUAAUCUACAAGUCUUUGGACUUAUACAAACAUCCAGACAAUAGCAUAAAAUAAUAUGCAACACUUUUCCUAUUAUACUAAUUUAAGGCAAAAUGUUUCAACACUUCAUUUCUGUUUUUGCCCACCAUCUUCAGUGAAGGGACUUCGUACAGAAUGGACACAAUCUUCAGUGAAAAGACUGGGACACAGAAGAUAGUUCUAAAAAGGAGGAUCUUAUAGCAGCCUCAGAUCCUAUCAGGGGAAAUGGCAGCAGCCAGGAUUAGGAAGAAUGGAGAGAAAGAAAAGAGAGAAGAGAGAGUCACCUACUUCAUAUCUUGUAUCAUUUUCAUCAAACAUCUUUGGAGAUACCUUCCAAACGGAGAGUUCCAUCUGCUUUAAGCCUGGGGUCAUUUUCUUCAAAGUACACAAGGAAUCAUUUUUAUUUCAAAUACAAGAUUCAGUGUUCCAGAGGUAAAACGGACAUCAGAACAUCACAAAACAGCAAAACAAAAGACAUCACAAUUAAAAGUCAGAAAAUAGAUAAAAGUCAUAUAAAAGUCAUAAAAACAUUUUGGGGAAUACUUGCGAGAUGAGGAGAUCCACCUGCUUAAAAUCUGGAGCCAUUUUCACGACACAUGUUGAAUGUUAUGUCCAUUUCAACAAGUUUCAAACAACAGAAAAUGAAAAUUAAUAAACUUGUCAUAAAAAAUGGACACAUAGACAUCUCCGAAGCUACAGGAACAGUAGAAAAGCAAAGAAGAAUUGUGAUCGAAUUAAAUCUAAAGGAAUCUCCCGAUCAAACAGUAAAAGUGCGAUAUUCAGUUGUCGUACCUUCCUAUAUUUGAAAGGCGUUUCUUACGUUAUGACGUACAGUGCGUGCGCCGUAGUAGGCCUAUAUAAAGGAUUGCGCGAGAGUACAACAUCCUUUCUCUUUUAAAUACGACAGACAACAGGUGAUCACUCCACAACUGAAGUGUCAGAAAGGAUCAACACCAACACGACCGAGUCAUCCGGUUUCAACAUGACCCCACUGAAGAUUCUUGCUGCUGCAGUUCCUCGAAUUAUUGAUACAUACCGUAUCAUGAAGGCCAUUCAAAAUCAGAGGCACAGGGAGCCACAGUUGGAUCGGACAGACCCACAGAGACAGCCCCUGGAGCACGGCCAAAACGACAGGAAUGACGCCUCAGUACAGCGCUUCCCCUGGUACACAAAGAAGGAGAUGGUGUUGAUAAUGAGCAGGCGGAUGGGGUCCGUGUUCCUGUCCCCUGCCCAGCCCAGACUGCAGGGGGGUCUGCUUGCUCCACCCCAAGUCCAGGAGAGGUUGGAGCUUGCUCCGCCCCAAGUCCAGGAGAGGUCGGAGCUUGCUGAUUGGGGUGGCAAUGGUGAUGGGAAGGGGGAGGGAUUAAUUUUAUGAGUUUGUUAGGAUUUU
Long non-coding RNA from Anguilla anguilla (European eel), 1451 nucleotides. RefSeq lists it as uncharacterized. The transcript is spliced from 4 exons. NCBI's taxonomy places the organism in Eukaryota, Metazoa, Chordata, Actinopteri, Anguilliformes, Anguillidae. The record is from RefSeq and is a predicted model, not a curated record.